GACGAACGCUGGCGGCGUGCUUAACACAUGCAAGCCGAACGCUGAGGCCAGGCUUUGGUUGGGGGGAGGAGUGGCGAACGGUUGAGUAACACGUGAGUAACCUGCCCCCUCCUUUGGGAUAACGCCGGGAAACGGGUGCUAAAACUGGAUAUUCCCUGGUUUUCGCUUGGGGGUGGGUGGAAAGGGUUUUUCGGGGGGGGGUUGGGCUCGCGGCCUAUCAGCUUGUUGGUGGGGUGAUGGCCUACCAAGGCUUUGACGGGUAGCCGGCCUGAGAGGGUGACCGGUCACAUUGGGACUGAGAUACGGCCCAGACUCCUACGGGAGGCAGCAGUGGGGAAUAUCGCACAAUGGGCGCAAGCCUGAUGCAGCGACGCCGCGUGAGGGAUGGAGGCCUUCGGGUUGUGAACCUCUUUCGCUCAUGGUCAAGCCGCAACAAUGGUUGUGGUGAGGGUAGUGGGUAAAGAAGCGCCGGCUAACUACGUG
This 483-nucleotide ribosomal RNA is filed under the name uncultured bacterium. RNAcentral describes it as "partial 16S ribosomal RNA". It matches the Rfam family "Bacterial small subunit ribosomal RNA", at positions 28 to 507 of the family's 1533-position model. The record is from RNAcentral.